Molecule: transfer RNA, 73 nt
Filed under: Cohnella sp. OV330
Lineage: Bacteria; Bacillati; Bacillota; Bacilli; Caryophanales; Paenibacillaceae
Rfam family: tRNA
About the family: Transfer RNA (tRNA) molecules are approximately 80 nucleotides in length. Their secondary structure includes four short double-helical elements and three loops (D, anti-codon, and T loops).
Source: Rfam by way of RNAcentral
GCGGACGUAGCUCAACGGUAGAGUUCCGGCCUUCCACGCCGGCGAUGAUCGGGUUCGAAUCCCGCCGUCCGCU